UUGGAGGGCAAGUCUGGUGCCAGCAGCCGCGGUAAUUCCAGCUCCAAUAGCGUAUAUUAAAGUUGUUGCAGUUAAAAAGCUCGUAGUUGAAUUUCGGGAUCAAUAUGUUGGUCGUGCCAUUGGUACGUACUGGUAUCAUUGAUUUCUCCUUUCUGACGAACCAUGAUGUCAUUAAUUUGGUGUUAUGGGGAGUUAGGACUGUUACUUUGAAAAAAUUAGAGUGUUUAAAGCAGGCAUUAGCUUGAAUACAUUAGCAUGGAAUAAUGAAAUAGGACGUUUGACCCUAUUUUGUUGGUUUCUAGGAUCGACGUAAUGAUUAAUAGGGAUAGUUGGGAGCAUUAGUAUUCAAUUGUCAGAGGUGAAAUUCUUGGAUUUAUUGAAGACUAACUACUGCGAAAGCAUUUGCCAAGGAUGUUUUCAUUAAUCAAGAACGAAAGUUAGGGGAUCGAAGACGAUCAGAUACCGUCGUAGUCUUAACCAUAAACUAUGCCGACUAGGGAUCGGAUGAUGUUAAUUUUUUAAUGACUCAUUCGGCGCCUUACGGGAAAC
RNAcentral lists this ribosomal RNA (549 nucleotides) under uncultured Glomeromycotina. Its description in RNAcentral is "SSU rRNA". It matches the Rfam family "Eukaryotic small subunit ribosomal RNA", at positions 548 to 1098 of the family's 1831-position model. Lineage: Eukaryota; Fungi; Glomeromycota. The record is from RNAcentral.